GGGUCGUUAGCUCAGUUGGUAGAGCAGUUGACUUUUAAUCAAUUGGUCGCAGGUUCGAAUCCUGCACGACCCANCA
This 76-nucleotide transfer RNA is filed under the name Klebsiella pneumoniae. RNAcentral's name for it is "tRNA-Lys". It matches the Rfam family "tRNA". Rfam says of the family: Transfer RNA (tRNA) molecules are approximately 80 nucleotides in length. Lineage: Bacteria; Pseudomonadati; Pseudomonadota; Gammaproteobacteria; Enterobacterales; Enterobacteriaceae. The record is from RNAcentral.